This 597-nucleotide long non-coding RNA is filed under the name Homo sapiens (human). RNAcentral's name for it is "novel transcript". Lineage: Eukaryota; Metazoa; Chordata; Mammalia; Primates; Hominidae. The record is from RNAcentral.
UAAUGCAGAUAAGCUCUGUGGCAUCAAUUCACCCUCCAGAAGAAACCCAAAUAGCAACACAGGAUGAAGGUCAAGGAUUAACUGAUGCUAAUGGAAAUGUUCCCAGUGACCGUCCAGAUAAAAUAUUGUAUCCCAGCUGAUGAGGCCGGCACAUGAUGACAACACUACAAGCACCAAGAAAAUUGAUGCGAUGGCCUGUCUUAAGUUGGCUUCCUCUAUUGGUCUUUUAUCUGACAAGACACCUUUGGCAAAGUCUCAUCAAUAUGCUACUUUUCAUCUGCCUGACACUGAAAUCAAUGGACUGCAGAAGAAGCCUCUCGAUCAGCAUUGUCAGAAAUGAUCACCAUGCUGGACGGAGCAUGCUACCUGAUUUCUGUGAGCACUCAUUCAUUCCUGAAAGCUUUCUCUCAGCUGUUACAAGAGUGACCCUGCUUAGAGGUCAGAGAUAAAGAUGCUCUGCAGUCAGAGGAUGCACGCCUGACUGAACUCCCACAAAAGCAUGGCUGCAAAUCCCAGAGAAAGAAGAAAGAGAACUUACAUAAAGGAGGCUUUCUGGAGAACUCGCUGUAAGAGGGUCAAUGCGGAAAUAUGGAAUGU